Molecule: long non-coding RNA, 920 nt
Organism: Mercenaria mercenaria
Lineage: Eukaryota; Metazoa; Mollusca; Bivalvia; Venerida; Veneridae
Exons: 2
Source: RefSeq, a predicted model, not a curated record
AUUUUAAAAGUGUUCAUACUUGUUCUCAGUAAUUGUUAAAAAGGAAAUGUUACUAUGAAAUUGGUUUUAAAAUGUGUUAAAAUAUACGAAAACAACAGUAUAGGAAAACUUAAUAGUUAAAAAUAUUUUUGUGUUCAUAUUUAAAGCUGUUAACCAGUUGCCAGUAACUUUUGUCAAUCCAGAAAUCAGACAAGUGAUAGGAUUACAUUUUUGUACAUUUUAAUAAUCGCAAAAACCAGAGUCUUAGACAAACAGAAAGAUGGGGAAAUAUCUGUACUUGCAACUGUUCAGCUCCUGCUGUUCACCUGUGCUCACAAAGUCCAAUUUCUUUAUUUUCCAACAUCUUUGUUAAAUGAUUUCUUUCAUUGUGGUCUUAAAGUACUCGUGUUUUGGAAUACUUCGGUGUUCACUCAAAGCUCCACCAGAUGACAUAAACUAUCUCUACAAAUCAUCUUGUAGUUUAAUUACAGUUCUUGGUGUCUACAAUAUUUCUUUUUAUCAAAAUGAAAUAGCAUAUCAUUGUUAUAAGCACGUAAUAUUUCAAAUGCUGACAGUUAAUGUAAUGACAUCACAAUAUUCUUUAUAGAUAUAACACUAAAUGGACUAAAUUGUUGAUACAAUGAUGUCAGGAUUAAGGUUGACAGUUGUGCAGUUGUAUAAUGCUAAUUCUUUAAAAAAAAUUGGUAAGGGUGUUAAAUCAGUCUGAAAUUCCAUUCAGACAUAGUGUUCUGUUGUAACUUAUAUUCAAAUGUAUGUACAUUUACAUUUGUAAGCUAUAUACAUGUAUUGCAAUAAAUUCUGUCAAAUUUGUUUUUUUUUUUUAUUGUAUUUGUAGAAAAGAGCUCAAGUUGUAUUUUCGUGUUAUAUGUGUAUUAUUAUUUUGUAAAUAUAUAUUGCAAUAAAUUCUGUCAAGUUUGAAA